GAUGAACGCUGGCGGCGUGCCUAAUACAUGCAAGUCGAGCGAACAGAUAAGGAGCUUGCUCCUUUGACGUUAGCGGCGGACGGGUGAGUAACACGUGGGUAACCUACCUAUAAGACUGGGAUAACUUCGGGAAACCGGAGCUAAUACCGGAUAACAUUUGGAACCGCAUGGUUCUAAAGUGAAAGAUGGUUUUGCUAUCACUUAUAGAUGGACCCGCGCCGUAUUAGCUAGUUGGUAAGGUAACGGCUUACCAAGGCGACGAUACGUAGCCGACCUGAGAGGGUGAUCGGCCACACUGGAACUGAGACCCGGUCCAGACUCCUACGGGAGGCAGCAGUAGGGAAUCUUUCGGAAUGGGCGAAAGCCUGACGGAGCAACGCCGCGUGAGUGAUGAAGGGUUUCGGCUCGUAAAACUCUGUUAUUAGGGAAGAACAAAUGUGUAAGUAACUGUGCACGUCUUGACGGUACCUAAUCAGAAAGCCACGGCUAACUACGUG
This 497-nucleotide ribosomal RNA is filed under the name uncultured bacterium. RNAcentral's name for it is "partial 16S ribosomal RNA". It matches the Rfam family "Bacterial small subunit ribosomal RNA", at positions 28 to 507 of the family's 1533-position model. The record is from RNAcentral.